AGGCAGUGAUGACAAACAAAUUCAUUUCUCGAAUCUGAAUACUGUACUGUGUUAAUUCACAGACGGACCUUCGAAUUUACUUGAUUUGAUGACAGCGUUUGUGCGUGUCUGAGCCUU
Molecule: non-coding RNA, 117 nt
Organism: Cucumis sativus (cucumber)
Lineage: Eukaryota; Viridiplantae; Streptophyta; Magnoliopsida; Cucurbitales; Cucurbitaceae
Source: Rfam